Molecule: ribosomal RNA, 253 nt
Filed under: uncultured bacterium
Lineage: Bacteria
Description: partial 16S ribosomal RNA
Rfam family: Bacterial small subunit ribosomal RNA
Source: RNAcentral
UACAGAGGUCCCAAGCGUUGUUCGGAUUCACUGGGCGUAAAGGGUGCGUAGGUGGUGAGGUAAGUCGGAUGUGAAAGCUCCGAGCUCAACUCGGAAAUGGCAUUGGAAACUACCUUGCUCGAGGGUUUGAGGGGGGACUGGAAUACUUGGUGUAGCAGUGAAAUGCGUAGAUAUCAAGUAGAACACCAGUGGCGAAGGCGAGUCCCUGGAAAACUCCUGACACUGAGGCACGAAAGCCAGGGGAGCAAACGGG